AAGAACAGGGCUAAGACUGGUUUGCAAAGAUCAGGAAAGAUCUAGGGGGUUUUAUGGGAAACUCGCAAGACACAAGAAAUAAGAUAAAAAUUAAAGGAGUUCUUAGGGGCCUAUGCGCAAAAGCUCAAAGAGCUUCAGUGGCCGGCGGACGGAGCUCCUGGUCGGCAAAAUGGGCGGCGCUCCGAGCGAUGAUGGGCUCAGCCGAGGCGGGGAAAACGGAGAGGAGUU
This 228-nucleotide long non-coding RNA is filed under the name Setaria italica (foxtail millet). RNAcentral describes it as "long non-coding RNA (SITA_LNC006423)". The record is from RNAcentral. Lineage: Eukaryota; Viridiplantae; Streptophyta; Magnoliopsida; Poales; Poaceae.